This 75-nucleotide transfer RNA is filed under the name archaeon. RNAcentral's name for it is "tRNA-Glu". It matches the Rfam family "tRNA". Rfam says of the family: Transfer RNA (tRNA) molecules are approximately 80 nucleotides in length. Their secondary structure includes four short double-helical elements and three loops (D, anti-codon, and T loops). The record is from RNAcentral.
GCCCUAGUAGUCUAGCCCGGUCCAGGAUGCGACCCUCUCGAGGUCGAGACCCGAGUUCAAAUCUCGGCUGGGGCA